RNAcentral lists this transfer RNA (193 nucleotides) under Aureobasidium subglaciale EXF-2481. It matches the Rfam family "tRNA". Rfam says of the family: Transfer RNA (tRNA) molecules are approximately 80 nucleotides in length. Their secondary structure includes four short double-helical elements and three loops (D, anti-codon, and T loops). Further hydrogen bonds mediate the characteristic L-shaped molecular structure. tRNAs have two regions of fundamental functional importance: the anti-codon, which is responsible for specific mRNA codon recognition, and the 3' end, to which the tRNAs corresponding amino acid is attached (by aminoacyl-tRNA synthetases). tRNAs cope with the degeneracy of the genetic code in two manners: having more than one tRNA (with a specific anti-codon) for a particular amino acid; and 'wobble' base-pairing, i.e. permitting non-standard base-pairing at the 3rd anti-codon position. Lineage: Eukaryota; Fungi; Ascomycota; Dothideomycetes; Dothideales; Saccotheciaceae. The record is from Rfam by way of RNAcentral.
GCCGCGGUAGUUUAGUGGUUAAGGCGCUGCAUUGUUACCAAAAAAUAAUCCACUGAUGGACUUCGGUCUUCAGUCUCCCAAAAACUACUGGUGAGCUUCGGCUUCCAGUCCCAAAAACAACUGAUGAGCUUCGGCUUUCAGUCUCCAGUAACUUACACUGCAGAGAUCGUGAGUUCGAGUUUCACUCGCGGCA